CUAGGUGGCAAGCGUUGUCCGGAAUUAUUGGGCGUAAAGCGCGCGCAGGCGGUUCUUUAAGUCUGAUGUGAAAGCCCACGGCUCAACCGUGGAGGGUCAUUGGAAACUGGAGAACUUGAGUACAGAAGAGGAAAGCGGAAUUCCACGUGUAGCGGUGAAAUGCGUAGAGAUGUGGAGGAACACCAGUGGCGAAGGCGGCUUUCUGGUCUGUAACUGACGCUGAGGCGCGAAAGCGUGGGGAGCAAACAGGAUUAGAUACCCUGGUAGUCCACGCCGUAAACGAUGAGUGCUAAGUGUUAGGGGGUUUCCGCCCCCCUUAGUGCUGCAGCUAACGCAUUAAGCACUCCGCCUGGGAGUACGGCCGCAAGGCUG
This 372-nucleotide ribosomal RNA is filed under the name uncultured organism. RNAcentral describes it as "partial 16S ribosomal RNA". It matches the Rfam family "Bacterial small subunit ribosomal RNA", at positions 527 to 896 of the family's 1533-position model. The record is from RNAcentral.